CCUACGGGAGGCAGCAGUGGGGAAUCUUGCACAAUGGAGGAAACUCUGAUGCAGCGAUGCCGCGUGAGUGAAGAAGGCCUUUGGGUUGUAAAGCUCUUUUGUAGGGGAAGAUAAUGACUGUACCCUAAGAAUAAGGUCCGGCUAACUUCGUGCCAGCAGCCGCGGUAAUACGAAGGGACCUAGCGUAGUUCGGAAUUACUGGGCGUAAAGCGCGCGUAGGCCGUUGAGUUAGUUAAUUGUGAAAUCCCAAAGCUUAACUUUGGAACUGCAAUUAAAACUGCUCGACUAGAGUUUGAUAGAGGAAAGCGGAAUACAUAGUGUAGAGGUGAAAUUCGUAGAUAUUAUGUAGAACACCAGUUGCGAAGGCGGCUUUCUGGAUCAACACUGACGCUGAGGCGCGAAAGUAUGGGUAGCAAAGAGGAUUAGAUACCCUCGUAGUCCAUACCAUAAACGAUGAUUGCUAGAUGUUGGAAAUUUAUUUUCAGUAUCGCANCUACNCAUANANAUCGCGUGGAGUACGACGCAGUAACUACAAGAAGUAGAGNGNGAGAGNGCGAGACGACGACGAGGAGAG
RNAcentral lists this ribosomal RNA (574 nucleotides) under uncultured bacterium. RNAcentral describes it as "bacterial SSU rRNA". The stretch from base 1 to 511 matches the Rfam family "Bacterial small subunit ribosomal RNA", at positions 338 to 873 of the family's 1533-position model. The record is from RNAcentral.